GCUAAGCAUGGUGAUGUGUGCCUGUAGUCCCAGCUACUGGGGAGGCUGAGGUGGGAGGACCACUUGAGUCCAGUUGUUCUGGCCUGCAGUGCACUAUGCCAGUCAGGUAUCCUGCACUAAGUUUGGUAUCAAUAUGGUGACCUCCUGGGAGUGAGGGACCACCAGGUUGCCUAAGGAGGGGUGAAAUGGCCCAAGUUGGAAAUGGAGUAGGUCAAAAUUCCUGUGCUUAUCCAAAUUGUUUUGGAUGUUUGAAGUCCUUAGGAGUCCAUAUGACUUUUAGAAUCAAUUUUUC
This is an unclassified non-coding RNA of Heterocephalus glaber (naked mole-rat), 292 nucleotides long. It matches the Rfam family "Metazoan signal recognition particle RNA". From Rfam's summary of the family: The signal recognition particle (SRP) is a universally conserved ribonucleoprotein. The record is from Ensembl. Lineage: Eukaryota; Metazoa; Chordata; Mammalia; Rodentia; Bathyergidae.